GACGAACGCUGGCGGCGUGCUUAACACAUGCAAGUCGAACGGUGAAGCGCCUUCCUUUUUGGUGGGUGUGGAUGAGUGGCGAACGGGUGAGUAACACGUGAGUAACCUGCCCCCUUCUUCUGGAUAACCGCAUGAAAGUGUGGCUAAUACGGGAUAUUCUGGGUCUGUCGCAUGAUGGGUCUGGGAAAGAUAUUGUUUCGGUGGGGGAUGGGCUCGCGGCCGAUCAGCUUGUUGGUGGGGUGAUGGCCUACAAAGGCGGUUCGGGGUAGCCGGCAUGAGAGGGUGGAACGUAACACUAGGGAUAGGACACGGCGCAUACUUCUACAGGCGGCAGCAGUGGGGAAUAAUGCACCAUGGGCGCAAGCCUGCUGCAGCGGCGCCGCGUGAGAGAGGGAUUCCUUCGGGUUGUGAACCUCUUGCGGCUAUGAAGCAGGCCUGCCUCGAUUGUGAGUGGGUUGACGGUAGCUGGAUAAGAAGCCCCGGCUAACUACGUG
This 494-nucleotide ribosomal RNA is filed under the name uncultured bacterium. Its description in RNAcentral is "partial 16S ribosomal RNA". It matches the Rfam family "Bacterial small subunit ribosomal RNA", at positions 28 to 507 of the family's 1533-position model. The record is from RNAcentral.